Molecule: ribosomal RNA, 468 nt
Filed under: uncultured bacterium
Lineage: Bacteria
Description: partial 16S ribosomal RNA
Rfam family: Bacterial small subunit ribosomal RNA
Source: RNAcentral
GACGAACGCUGGCGGCGUGCUUAACACAUGCAAGUCGAACGGAAAGGCCCUGCUUUUGUGGGGUGCUCGAGUGGCGAACGGGUGAGUAACACGUGAGUAACCUGCCCUUGACUUUGGGAUAACUUCAGGAAACUGGGGCUAAUACCGGAUAGGAGCUCCUGCUGCAUGGUGGGGGUUGGAAAGUUUCGGCGGUUGGGGAUGGACUCGCGGCUUAUCAGCUUGUUGGUGGGGGAGUGGCUUACCAAGGCAUUGGCGGGUAGUCGGCCCGAGAGGGUGACCGCCGACAAGGGGACUAAGAUACGGAGCAGUCUGCAAUGGUAGACAGCAGUGGGAAAUAUGAUACAAUGGGCGGAAGUGUGUGAAAGAAGGGCCGCGUUUGUGAUGACGUCCUUCUGGGUGUAAACCGCUGUCGCCUGUGACGAAGCUUGAGUGACGUUAAUGGGUAAAGAAGCACCGGCUAACUACGUG